GUCUAUAGCCAUGCCACCCUGAACAAGCCUGAUGUCUGAUCUCGGAAGCUAAGUAGGGUUAGGCCUGGUUAGUACUUGGAUGGGAGACCACCUAGAAGGACUAGGUGCUGUAGGCA
This 116-nucleotide ribosomal RNA is filed under the name Pteropus alecto (black flying fox). Lineage: Eukaryota; Metazoa; Chordata; Mammalia; Chiroptera; Pteropodidae. The record is from RNAcentral.